RNAcentral lists this ribosomal RNA (303 nucleotides) under uncultured bacterium. RNAcentral describes it as "partial 16S ribosomal RNA". It matches the Rfam family "Bacterial small subunit ribosomal RNA", at positions 507 to 809 of the family's 1533-position model. The record is from RNAcentral.
AGCAGUCGCCGCGGUAACACGAAGGGUGCAAGCGUUAAUCGGAAUUACUGGGCGUAGCGUGCGUAGGCGGUGAGUUAAGUCUGCUGUGAAAUCCCCGGGCUCAACCUGGGAAUGGCAGUGGAUACUGGCUCGCUAGAGUGUGUCAGAGGAUGGUGGAAUUCCCGGUGUAGCGGUGAAAUGCGUAGAGAUCGGGAGGAACAUCAGUGGCGAAGGCGGCCAUCUGGGACAACACUGACGCUGAGGCACGAAAGCGUGGGGAGCAAACAGGAUUAGAUACCCCCGUAGUCCCUGUCUCUUAUACAC